This 253-nucleotide ribosomal RNA is filed under the name uncultured bacterium. Its description in RNAcentral is "partial 16S ribosomal RNA". It matches the Rfam family "Bacterial small subunit ribosomal RNA", at positions 524 to 776 of the family's 1533-position model. The record is from RNAcentral.
UACGUAGGGGGCUAGCGUUGUCCGGAAUCAUUGGGCGUAAAGCGCGUGUAGGCGGCCCGGUAAGUCCGCUGUGAAAGUCGGGGGCUCAACCCUCGGAUGCCGGUGGAUACUGUCGGGCUCGAGUGCGGAAGAGGCGAGUGGAAUUCCUGGUGUAGCGGUGGAAUGCGCAGAUAUCAGGAGGAACACCAAUAGCGAAGGCAGCUCGCUGGGACGGUACUGACGCUAAGGCGCGAAAGCGUGGGGAGCGAACAGG